GGUGUUCUCUGGGCGAUGUGGCGGUCCCGGGGCAGUGUCGCGUCCCGAGCAGUGUGGCGAUGGCCGGGCAGUGGGCAGGCCCCGGGCCGUGCCGGAAGCCGGAAGCGAGGCCGGGGCAGCGCCCGCCCCGCCGCGGGAGGAGCCGGGGCCGGGGCCGGGGCCGGAGCGGAGCCGAGCGGGGCGGGCGGGGCCGGAGCGGAGCGGGAGGAGCCGCCGGGCGGGAGGCGAGCGGGGGAUUUCUCCUUGGAGGCCAUGGAGCUUUCAGCCAACGAGCUCAGCAUCUAUGACAAGCUCUCUGAGACCAUUGAUCUGGUGAGGCAGACUGGCCACCAGUGUGGCAUGUCAGAAAAAGCCAUUGAGAAGUUCAUCAGGCAGCUCUUGGAAAGAAACGAGCCCCAGAGGGGCCCUCCACGGUACCCUGUCUUAGUGGCUCUCUACAAGGGCCUGCUCACCCUGGGCUUGGUGUUGCUGACUGUUUACUUGGUGAUCCAGCCCUACAACCCGCUGCCACCCGAAGCACCACUCUCCAGAGCCCAGGCCUGGGGCUCCCUCGUGGGGCACAUCCGGCUGCUGUCCCUGCCCAUUGCCAAGAAGUACAUGCUGGAGAAAUGCCAGGACUGGUGGGCAGCAGGUUGCAGACAGAACACUUCUGCACUUCCUGCAAACUGCACAGUCUGUUCUGCUGUGAAAAGCCUUCACAUAGUGACAGACUUCAGAGAGCUAUCAGAAAAGCUCCAGAGGCAUCAGCCUUUUCUAAUCAAGACAGGGCAGCAUCUCUCCUAUGAAGAACUGAAGCAUUUUCAGUCCCAGGAUCCAGAACUGGCAGAGGUUAUAAUAGAAGAAAAUUCAGCUGAAUUAUGGAGCUGCCCAUUUUUCUUUCCCUGGAACAAGUCUGUGAAUAGAUCCCGGAUUCUCCAGGAAUUUUUCCCUGCUUCCUCUUUGCUGUCCUUCCCCAAGACAGUGUCCCUGGAGAGCUGCUUCCUCAUCCGCCGCCCAGAUUUGGGGAAUAAGAGCUACAGCCUGCACAGCCUCUUUGCUGUUGGGAGUGGGCAGCUCACCCUGACUGUUGCACCUCUGGACACGUGCAGAGGACACUGUGAGGUGUUCAAGGUGGAGCUGGAAGCUGGGGAUUUGGGUUAUGCCAACACAGAUCACUGGACAAUGAGCUUCAUGGCCAGAGGGACAGAGCCAGCUGUGAUUUGUGAUGGAGCUGCCAGCUAAGGAUGCUGGGGUGGGAAAACAGAGCUGUUCCCAGGACAGGAAGACUUUCAGCUUUGAAGCCAAGGCAACGUCUUGAGAGGAGCGAGCUGGGGCAACUGGGGCAGGCAGCUUUGCCACCCUGCAUGUUUACAGUGUUUAAAAAGGACUAUUUUCCUGACCCUUGAGGUAAUCCUUUGCCUUUCCUCAAAUGUAUUUUGGGAGAAGCUCAAGCUAUUUAUGACCCUCCCUGUCCCCUCAGGUAAGCCCUGAGUUUGCAGCAAAGGGUUUUUUUUCCAGGAGCAGCAGAUGGAUUUCUCAGGAUGAGAUUCACCUUAUGUUCUGUUUGGAUUAUGGCACUUCUGAAACUUCCUGGGGGGUUUGGGAGUGGAUGGGGUGUGUGACAUUUCUGUGUACAUUCCUCCUGAGGAGGAAGCUUUGAGCCUGUGUAGUCAGGCCAGUUCUAUAAAGGGAAUGAAUUGGUGAUGUGUCCCAGCUCUCCCUCACGUCCGCAGCUGUGUGAGCCCUGCAGAGCUGACCUUGGCUCCUGCUCCCAGGCUGGGGAGAGCCUUGAGCUUGAGGGCAGAAACUCUCACCCACUGCGACCUUCUUGUACCAAAAGAAUCCCUUCUGUUGUGAUCACCCUUCUGCAGCUCUCUGUCAGCAGGUUGUGAGUGAGUCAAAUGGUAAUUGUGCUUUUCUUCACCUCCACUUCCUUUCCUGCAAAAACACUGACACGCAUCUUAGAGGUGCUGGCAAUGCAGGAGUUCUGGAUGGAGCUGGGGCUGGGAGAGAGCAGCUCUGUCCAGCUUUCACCUCAGACACCAAGGGCUGCACAGCCAUUCUCAGCUGCUCCUUGUUUUUGGAGGCACUGCCUGCGUUCCCAGCCCACGGUACCUCUGGGAGCACCUGAAACCUCCCUCUUCCCUGGCAUACUUUUGCAUUGACUCCUUCCAGACCUGGAACUCUGUCUUCAGAAUGAACGUUGGUUUUUCCUGGGUCCUUUCCAAGCUGCCUUUGCGUGUUUCCUGCUGCUGGAGCAGUGCUGUCUCCAGUGCCCUGAGAGAGGCUCGGGUUCGGGGUUUGCAGACUGCGGAUGCUCCGGUCCCUUCCAAGUCUGAUCCUUUGGGUCUGAUCCCACUGCUGAAGAUCAUUUACAGAUGUGUCAGGCUGAACUCAUAGGCCAGGGCUGGAGUUCAGGACAUACUCUCACACUUGUUAAUAUGGAGUUGGGAGGGGUUUUGGUUGACAGCGAGUUAACUCUGUUCUCAGGAGCAAGAGCCUUUUUCUCUGUAAAUAUUUUAGGUACAUGUAAAAUGACAGAUUGGGAAAAUGUCUGUCCAGCCUUUGUUUUUGAGGAGAAUGGGAGCAAACAUUGUGCUAAUCUGAUUAGGAUCUGACAAAAGCUGCCAAGUGGGAUGACCACUUCUGGCUCCUGUACAAGAAUAAGGCAGAGGACAGUUCCUGCUCCAAAGAAUUUAGUCUGAGGCCUUGACACUACAAACAUUUCUAUGCAUAACCCCUGUUUUUCUCCUGUCAAAACAAUGAGAACAAGCCCAGCACCUGUGUCAGUCUGUGCAUGGCCCUUGGUGCUGGACACACACCAGAUCUAGUAGAGCCAAAAGGGGAGAGUCUGACUCUCUCAGGAUAGAAAAGGACUAAUAUCAUUUGUUACCAAGUAUUAAAGGGAAUUGGACUAAUAGAACUUCCAUUAGUGUUCUCACUGCUUGGAAUGUAUUUCACACUCAUGACACUACAUUCAAUCUUGUACAUGCCAAGACACACACACACCACCUCUCUCCCUCCUCUUAAAGCCUGGGUCUUAGUUAAUGGAAAUUUGGGAGUUCAGUGACGGCAGAAUUAGGGCCUCAUUAGUGACUGUUGCUAUUUACACUUUGGCAGCUUCUCAAAUCAAAUUCAAAGGCUGACCAGGUUACUUCACCUCUUACUGCUUUUGUAUCUGACCCCUUUUUGUAAAGCACUUGCUCAAAGAUGCUGCUGGAGCCAUUCUUGCUGAGAUUGGGUGACACUGUCACUGCUAAGUGUCCUUGACUGUAACUUGUAAAAGAGCUGCGGAGACAAUUCCCAAGUGUCUGAAAUGCCUGGAUUUUGAGAGUCACACUUAAGCCAUUGUGGCUGUCUGGCUCUUUCAGGAAGAAGCAGAGAAAAUGGAUCUAUUUACAGUUGCUGUUUGGACUGGGGGGAGGAGGGGGAGGAGGGGGCAGGUUUGUGCCUGUUUAGCAGAAAUGUUCUCACGUAGUGCUUCUCCCUUCCUCGAAGAGUUGCAGUCUUCCUCGAAGAGUUGCAGCUGGUUGGACAGGAGCUGGUGAGUCUGGCCUGUUUGCAGAGCAGCCUUCCAAGUGCACUUUAUGGGCUCUGCAUAAGUUUCCAGCUCUGUCUCAGCAAUACAUUGCUUAUGUCCCAGCCCCGCUCCCUUCGGAGCUUACAUCAUUUGUUUUUAAGCUCUCCUGUAUAUUUUCUCUUCCUCUUCCAAAGGCUGUAAGGAAUUAGCUGCUAAACUAAAACAGGAGGACAGUUCUCCUGCUGAUAAAGAGUCAAUUUUGGCCGAAGUGCCGAGGCCCAGUCGGCAGCACAGCUUCCAGAGCAGCUUCUGUCUCCAGCUGCCAGAGGAGUGGUGCUCACACCUUCCACAUCCCAGGGCAGGCAAGGAGCCACGGUGGGAAACCUGGAGGUGAGGCCACAAUGGCAGAACUGGGGGAGGUUUUGAUACCUUUUCUGCAAUUUAGCCCUGGUUGUCUUCCACAUGCAGAGCUCCAGCUUCACAGAGUCCCUGGAAAAGGCUGCAGGACUUCCCUAGAGAGGCUGGUGGUCCUAGUGGCCUGCUGAGAUGGAACAGGGCUGUUCCUGCAGCUAUUGAGGUUUCACAGCAUGAUCACAUGAGUCCCAGAGGGGGUGUCCCACCAUGGUCUCCCUCACCUCAGCUCCCCUUUUGCACUCUCUGUGCUGCUUUGGACAAUCUCCCACUCCCCCUGUGCCCAGCUCACACAAGUUCCCAGUUAACACAUUUUAAAAUCCCUUUGUGUGCUUCAGAGCCCAUUGCCUGUGAGCUGGGAGAUGGAUUCCUCCUCACCCCACAUCCCAAAGGCUGCAAAGCUGCUCUGAAAUCACACCAGAAAUCGGUACUACCCACGUGCCCAGAGGAGCAGGCACCUCUGCACUUGCCAGGCUGGAAAGAUGGGCUGUCCCCAUCAGCUGGGCAGGAGGAUCGUGGUUUAAAGCUGCUCCCCAAAGCAGGGGUCACUGACCAGUGCUGUCAGUCAGUCCUGAACUCAGGGUAACUGAAAGGAGGAGAAAGGAUUAUUGUGAUUUACUUCAGUACCAGGAAAUCAGCGGCCCCCACGGGAGCCAACCUGGCAGUUUCUAUUGAUUCCUAUUUUUGCUUUCUUUGUUCCUUUUCAUUUUUUUCCCUGCCCACUGUUAUUGCACACAUUGAUUCCCCUGAGGGAUCUCUUUGCAAGGCCCUGGAGAGCUUUGAGUCAGAUUCCCCAUGAGUCUCCAGACUGCAGCUUCUCCCACCAGGCCUCUUUUGGCAAUGUUCUGGAGGAGAAGCUGGUUUGUCUGGGCUGGAUCAAAGCACCUCCCUUCCUUCAUGGCCUCCUGGGCUCCAGCAGCAGGAGGAGGAGGAGGAGGUGGGGAGCUGGAGAGCAUCUCAUGGUAGAGAUGUGAGCUCUAUAAACACCAGUGUCUCAGAAAAGGGGAUCCUUCUGCCUUGAAGCCCUCUUGUUCCCUCCCUUCAGGAGGGAAGUUUCCACACACCCCAAUCCCAGGUCCUCGUUCAGCCCCGUGGUCCCCAGGAGAAUUGAACAUUUCCUGGGUGAGGCCAUUUUGAUGGGUGCAUAAAGAGUUUUUGCUUCCUGCAAACCAAACUUUCUCCUCUUGGUAAAUUUUAUAGGUAGAACUCGAUAUCCUCCUCUUCAGGAGCCUCCUCCUUGUAAAGGGCAGAUUUAGUGUCCUGCUGAGUUAGACAAGGGAGAUGCUGGACUUCCCUUUGCUUUGGAGAGUCAAACAAAUGGCAGCAACAAUCUCCAUCUUUCCUUCACAAUCCAGUUGAUUGUAGCCAAACUUUGAGGCGUGGAAGACGAUAAACUCCUCCAGAGCUCAUAAAUCCAGGCGAGUAGGGAGAAAAGAGAGAGAUCCUGUUACUCCCACAGCAGUGCAGGAGCCUGUUAGACACCGGCCAGCCCCACUGGAGACCCUCGAGAUGGCACCUGUGAGGAGGAGGAAGCUGAUGAGGUUUUCUCUGGGCAGCUGGAAGUAGCCUCAUGCUCAGAGGUCCUGAUUCUCCUGGGGAGCUUCAACCAUCCUGAUAUUUUUUGGAGAGAUAACACAGCCCUGCACAGGCUGGAAGUCCAGGAAGUUCCUGCAGGUCAUUGAAAAUAACUUUUUGAUACAAGUGGUGGAGGAGCCAAGGAGGAGAGCCGUUGGGUGUUCCUGGCUCUUGGGAGGUGCUUUAAAUCUGACUGCCAGAGCUGUGAGCUGCUGAGAGCAGAAGCUGCCUGCACGAUGCUGAGCUCAGGUCUUCUUCCCAUUCUCCUGGUGCUCUCAGUGCUGGAGCUGAGCUGGUGCCUGAGUGAUGAAGAGAAGAUCAUCAUCUUGGAUGAGCAUAAUAAAUAUCGCUCCCAGGUGUCUCCUCCUGCCAAGGCUAUGAUGAAGAUGACCUGGGACACCGACCUGGAGGUUGAUGCUCAAAUGCAAGCAGAGAAGUGCAAGUGGGGCCAGAACGGGGGCCCAGGCAGGUUUAACCUCUUUGCUACAGCUUCAACCCUGGAUGUAAAAUUGGCCAUUGAAGAAUGGAACAGGGAGAGGAAAUUCUACAGCUUGACAACAUCCAAGUGUGCCCCCAUGCAGUCGUGUGACAACUAUGUCCAGGUGGUCUGGGCAAAAACAACUCGCGUUGGCUGUGGGAGCAAUUAUUGUGAGAAGAUUGAUGGAAUGGAAGGAGGGAACAUGCACCACCUGCUUGUCUGCAACUAUUAUCCCCCGAGCGAGAUAAAUAAAAAUAAGGCCUACUGGGAAGGACCCUCGUGUGAAAUGUGUCCCGCAGGCACAGUCUGUGAGAACAACCUGUGUGCAAAUCCGGAGACCAACUCAAACCAGACAAGUGUGGAUCCGCCCAAAGGAGGAGCCCCCAGGACCUGCUUGGGCUUUUCACUCUUCCUCCUGCCCAGUGCCAUCCUGGUGGGCCUUCUGCUCUGAAGGGUCUUCCUCAGCUGUCGCUGCACCCCUCACCAAGGCUUUUGUCAGGGCUGGUUGUUCCAGAGCCCUGGCAGGCUCAGGAGCUCCUUGGACAAUUCACACACUCCCUCCUUACGCUGCCUUCUCUGCUGCAGCCCCAGCAAGCCAAGGGCAGCUGGCAGUGCUGGGGGAACUUUGUCCCCUUCCUGAGGAGACCUGAGGGCAGGAGGGUGUUUGCCAUAAUGCUGGUGACCUUGGAUGCUUCUCCUUUUUUCUGGCUUCUGUUCCAUUUCCAGGCUGGAAGUGUUGAGCUCUCCCACACACCCACAAACCCAUAUGGCCGGCAGGCCCUGCCACAGCCUGACCCUGGGACAGCAGAGUGACUUGGGGACAACGAGACAUGGUGGUUGGCUUUGGUAUUUGUCAGGAUGAGUGCACAGCAGAAAUGCUCUUUUCCCACCAAAUGUUUCUUUCAGUUUGGGACAUAUUUUAUCUCUUUCCUAUUUUAUCCAAAUCGAGUGGCUGUUUUGAGGAUUUGUUUCCUCCUGGUUCUGGUGAAGCUCUGGCCAGUACUGCCCAGCUGUUCUCCCCUCUCCUCCUCACACUCUGCAGCCCUUGCCUCCUCCCUCUCUCCUCCUCCCUCUCUCUUGCUCUCUGGCACAUAUCACGUUCCCCAGUCACUCCAGUGCCACAGGUUAAUUUUCAUGUGUGCUUGCACCUGUGUGCACACAGAAGAGAAACCUUCAGAGCUGAGAGAGGCCACCAGCUCCUUCAUGUAGCUUUUCCCUGCAUGGCUUCAUUGCAUAAUUUCAGUGUAUUUGAAUUUAAAUACAGACCCUGCUUGAUGUGUAA
RNA transcript from Haemorhous mexicanus (house finch), 7245 nucleotides. It is a transcript of the gene named chromosome 25 C6orf89 homolog, with no coding region annotated. NCBI's taxonomy places the organism in Eukaryota, Metazoa, Chordata, Aves, Passeriformes, Fringillidae. The transcript is spliced from 15 exons. The record is from RefSeq and is a predicted model, not a curated record.